Long non-coding RNA from Betta splendens (Siamese fighting fish), 1194 nucleotides. RefSeq lists it as uncharacterized. NCBI's taxonomy places the organism in Eukaryota, Metazoa, Chordata, Actinopteri, Anabantiformes, Osphronemidae. The transcript is spliced from 3 exons. The record is from RefSeq and is a predicted model, not a curated record.
ACCUUCUGGCUUUUUUCCACUCAGUGUAUUCACACAAUUUAUUUUGUGCAAAUUUUGUUAUUAUGUAAUUAUUUAUUUCAGUGAAAGUGGAACCAGGAGAAUGAGCUGAGUGCCUCUGGUUUUAAUGCAGGGCCUCCCUCCCUCCUCCACCAGAAGCUUUCUUGGAUGCAUUUCUGUCUCCUGACGGGGGUCUGGAAAACAUAUAUCUCAGCAGGGGGCUCGGCUGCAGGCGGCCGCUCAUGCCCGGCAGGCAGCGCUCCCUGCUCUGCCUCCUGUGGGAGUCAGAGCGGAAAUGCUCGGCUCCUGCUGCUGCACGCUCCCUGACGCAGCACCAUGCGGAGCGGCAUUAACGAACAGUGAGGCUGUAGGUGAGGUGCAGCUCCCUGGGCUUUGCUCUGGCGGCCAUGUUGCUUCUGCUCUAGAUGAAGUUCUCCUUCCCUCCCUCGUGCCUGGAGUCGUCUGGUAAAGAGAUCCCACUGCAGACGGAUGUGGUCCAUGAAGCUGCGCUGAGGACAGGAGCUGGACUCAUCAGUGAUUGUCUGACGGCCUGGAGGAAGUGCAACAACUCAACACACUGCACCCUGUUUACGCUGCAGCAUCGGUAUUUGAUCCACUGUUAAGCAGCAUCCAGGCUCCGUCGGUUCCCCAGAGACACAGCCUCAGCUUUACCAUAAACGCUCUGACAAGAGUUACGGCUGCAGCCGUGGAGGGAACCUCCGAUUUGUGGGGCACGGGAAGAGAGGAGUAGGAAAGAGGGGGGAGAGGUUCCCGGCACUGUUGAAGGGUCAUGACUCGAUGUUCCGUCCUCCUUUUGGAGAAACUACCGUUUUUUUUUUAUCAGUUGGAGACGGGAGAAGCCCGAAACGUGUGGAAAAUACCUCAGAUUCUUCAUGUUCUGGUAACUCUGCUCGGGCGUCCUGUGCUUUCGUCUGCUUUCUUUUUAUGGAGCAUUUGGGUGUUUCCACACUCCCUCCUUCAUCACAGUUAUGAUUCAAACCUUGGAGAAACCUCUUGAAAGUAUUUAUUGACUGAUUAUUGGAGAAAAUGAGCACAUAUGGCAAACACAUGGGGACAAGUAUCCACCACCUCCAAACCUGUGUGCAGUCGGAUGACUCCCACCGCAAAUAUUCCCCCAUAAACGCUCCUAAAAGGAUGCUAUUUGUACAUAUUGGAAUUAUUGAUUAUAAAUAUUUA